GAUUUUCCGGUUGAUCCUGCCGGACCAGACGGCUAUUGGAGUUCGGCUAAGCCAUGCGAGUCUUUCCGCAAGGAAGGCAUACUGCUGAGUAACACGUGGAUAAUCUGCCCUNUGGGUGGGGCAUAACCUCGGGAAACUGAGGCUAAUUCCCCAUAGGUUCUUGAGGCUGGAAUGCGCUUGAACCAAAAGUUUCGACGCCCAAGGAUGAGUCUGCGGCUGAUCAGGCUGUUGGCNG
RNAcentral lists this ribosomal RNA (235 nucleotides) under uncultured archaeon. RNAcentral describes it as "partial 16S ribosomal RNA". It matches the Rfam family "Archaeal small subunit ribosomal RNA", at positions 1 to 239 of the family's 1478-position model. The record is from RNAcentral.